GAAAGUAAGUAAGGGCGUAUGGGGGAUGCCUAGGCUCUUGGAGGCUAAGAAGGACGUGGUAAGCUGCGAACACACCGCGAGGUGAGCUAACCCUCUGAACUGAAACAUCUAAGUAGGAGGAGGAAAAGAAAGAAACAUCGAUUUCCAAAGUAGCGGCGAGCGAAAUGGAAGAAGCCCAAACCGAUAUUGUUACGGCAAUAUCGGGGUUGUAGGACUGCAAUAUUCAAUUAACAAUGAACUGGAAUGGUCUGGAAAGUCCAUCCAUAGAGAGUGAAAGGCUCGUACAGGUAAGUUUGUUAUGCGAAAGCAGUAUCCUGAGUAUGGCGGGACACGAGGAAUCCUGUCAGAAUCAGCCGGGACCACCCGGUAAGGCUAAAUACUCCCAAGAGACCGAUAGUGGACCAGUACUGUGAAGGAAAGGUGAAAAGAACCCCGAACAGGGGAGUGAAAUAGAACCUGAAACCAUACGCUUACAACCGGUCGGAGCAGCUUCGUGCUGUGACGGCGUGCCUAUUGAAUAAUGAGCCUACGAGUUACUAAUCACUAGCGAGGUUAAGUGCAAGGAUGCACGGAGCCGAAGCGAAAGCGAGUCUGAACAGGGCGUUUAGUUAGUGGUUGUAGACGCGAAACCUUGCGAUCUACCCUUGAGCAGGUUGAAGGUUGGGUAAAACCAACUGGAGGACCGAACGAAUAAGCGUUGAAAAGCUUCUCGAUGACUUGAGGGUAGGGGUGAAAGGCUAAUCAAGCUGGGAAAUAGCUCGUACUCCCCGAAAUGCCUUUUGGGGCAGCGUUGUAAUAAAGAGUCUACUGGAGGUAGAGCUACUGAUUGGAUGCGGGGGCUUCACCGCCUACCAAAUCCUGACAAACUCCGAAUGCCAGUAGUAUGAUUUACAGCAGUGAGUGACUGGGUGCUAAUGUCCAGUCGCAAAAGAGGAACAACUCAGACCAGCAACUAAGGUCCCGAAGAAUAUGCUAAGUUGAUCUAACGAUGUUUUGUUGCAGAGACAGCUAGGAUGUUAGCUUGGAAGCAGCUAUUCAUUCAAAGAGUGCGUAACAGCUCACUAGUCGAGCGACAGAGCGUGGAUAAUAAACGGGCAUCAAGCAUAUCACCGAAGUUCUGGGCGCGAGAGCGCGGUAGGGGAGCAUUCCAUUCAGCGUCGAAGCAGUUUCGUGAGGAAUUGUGGAGCGUAUGGAAAAGCAAAUGUAGGCAUGAGUAACGAUAAUGCGGGAGAGUAACCCGCACACCGCAAGACCAAGGUUUCCUGAUCAACGCUAAUCGGAUCAGGGUUAGUCGGGUCCUAAGGGUAAGCCGAACGGCGAUCUCGAUGGAUAAUCGGUUAAUAUUCCGAUACUAACAUAUACCUCGAUGGAGAGACGAAGGAACGUAAGUGCCGCCACCUGACGGAAUAGGUGGUUAAAGGGCGUAGGUAUAGGGGCAGAUUAAGAGUUAGUCCUUGCUGAAACCUGACAGUACAGAGAGCCUACGGGCAAUUUGAUAGAGCACCCAAGUCGACUUCCGAGAAAAUCUUCUAAGUUAUAGUAUAUGUUACCCGUACCGUAAACCGACACAGGUGGUCGAGGAGAGUAUCCUAAGGUGCUCGAGUGAAUCACGGUUAAGGAACUAGGCAAAUUAACCCCGUAACUUCGGGAAAAGGGGUCCCUAUGAAAGUAGGGCGCAGCGAAGAGGUCCAGGCGACUGUUUAUCAAAAACACAGGGCUCUGCAAAUUCGAAAGAAGACGUAUAGGGCCUGACACCUGCCCGGUGCUGGAAGGUUAAGAGGGGAUGUCAUCGCAAGAGAAGCAUUGAAUCGAAGCCCCAGUAAACGGCGGCCGUAACUAUAACGGUCCUAAGGUAGCGAAAUUCCUUGUCGGGUAAGUUCCGACCUGCACGAAUGGUGUAACGAUCUGGACACUGUCUCAACCGUGAGCUCGGUGAAAUUGUAGUCCCGGUGAUGA
RNAcentral lists this ribosomal RNA (1956 nucleotides) under human gut metagenome. Its description in RNAcentral is "bacterial LSU rRNA". It matches the Rfam family "Bacterial large subunit ribosomal RNA", at positions 1 to 2059 of the family's 2925-position model. The record is from RNAcentral.